This 498-nucleotide ribosomal RNA is filed under the name Olavius albidus. RNAcentral's name for it is "partial 16S ribosomal RNA". It matches the Rfam family "Bacterial large subunit ribosomal RNA", at positions 1900 to 2621 of the family's 2925-position model. The record is from RNAcentral. Lineage: Eukaryota; Metazoa; Annelida; Clitellata; Tubificida; Naididae.
UAAUACUUUCUGCUCAAUGUACACAUAAAUUGCCGCAGUAUUAUAACUGUGCUAAGGUAGCAUAAUCACUUGUCUAUUAAUUGUAGACUAGAAUAAAUGAAACAAUGAGAUUACUUCUGUAUCAUAAAGUAAACCAAAAACUUAUCAAAAGAGUGAAGAAGCCUUUAUUACCCUGUAAGACAAAAAGACCCCGUGAAACUUAAAUUAAUCAUGCAUUAUAACAAAUACAAAAACUUUUGAUUGGGGCGAUCAAGAUACAUCAAACAACCUUAAAAUCAACUAACUCACAAGUUCAUUAAUUAUAUUCGACCCACCUAAACAAUGAAUAUUGAAAUAUAAAGCUACUCCGGGGAUAACAGACUAAUUUUCCUCUAAAGUCCAUAUUAAAAAGAAAGAUUAGCACCUCGAUGUUGGCUUAUAAAAAAAUUUGGAGAAAAAAUUAAAACAAAAGGUUUGUUCAACCUAUAACUUAUUACGUGAUCUGAGUUCAGACCCGGA